CCGAAGGAGAACCGAACGAAGACCAAAUGAGAGAUAAGAACUCGGAAAACGGUAGCAACAACCGGCGUCACCAAACGCUGCAGGCUUAGAUUUACGACGUGAUACAUUACAGUCUCAACGGGGAGCCAAUUCGUGGACGGAGCUAACGGCGUUUGCCUGAUUUCUCGUGAACUUAAUGUACGUGCCGACCGAAUUGACGUGACGCAACCCGUGCCCGAGUGAACCGGGACGGAACAGGGAAAAAUCGAGUAACAGGACCACCACGAGCAGGAUCCCGGGAAGGUUCAAGACCGACACGGGACACGAACUGGUUUCUGCCACGAUCCCGAUGCCCUCGCUACCACACCGGGAUCGAACAAACGAGAUCGGAGGUUCUCCUGUAACGUACACCCUGGGUCUCCUACCGGGUGGUCCAAGAUUCUAGCAGCGAGGCAGAACCUCGAUCCGACCUCUUGGAUGCGCGCCUCGCAUCAAAUGGGCACAUCAAUUAGCAAGGCCGAGUCUUUGAGAAGUUUGAUGGGCUCGCGUCUCGACGGCGCAAUUUGCGGGAGGAACUCGCAUCUCGCAGGCUAAUGCCGCUACAUUCAUCUGCCGCCGUGUUCCAGUAGCAGAUUCCCAUUUGUUAUGCAAUCACAGUGGUCGAACGAGAACGACAAACAACGGAGUAAUAACCUGUCGACGUACCCGGCCGCGAUUACCGUCACCGUCGAUUCCAUCUUGCGGUUGAAACGUCACGUCGCGUCGGAUCCAUGACCAGGAUACGAUCAGCCACUCCAUCGUGACAGUCCAAUUCGAUCGUUCUAACGAGUCCCUAAAUUCGAAGGAAAAACCGCCAUCGGAACAUGCCGGCUAGAGCACAGCUUUCACUGCGACUGCGAAGGGGCACCUUUUACGGCGUUCGCGACAAGAAAGUUCGCUUCUCGAAAAAGCAACGACAACCAGAGAAGUAAGAAAAAGCCGGUUGCAUUGGGAUGCAUCGUCUGUCGGGGCUGUUACGAGCGAUCAGAUAGCGCGGCGGUAGCGCAACUACGUUUGCACGGAUUUCGCAGAGGCUUACGCACCGCCGCCACUCGGAUGCUCGUACCCUGCCCGUACAGGGGAAAAUUUACUUCACGCGGAAACACCGCGCAUCGCACCGGCGAAGAGAUCCACGAGGCCGCCUCGCGGAGUAACGGGUCGGCGAUACAUACCGAGUGCAGCUCGAGCUCCGAAACCCUUUAUCGCGGGUCGGGAAUCUGACAAACUCGGCCGCGCGUUGAUGAACGUGCCGCGUUCACGAUAACACGGAGGAAGACGUAUUUAAUGCCCCAUGGCGAGGAGAUGCAACCCACCGUGUUUUCACUUCACGGAAUAUCGGAGAUGGUAGAGGAGGAGCUGAUGGAACUAAUUCUUAAGAAUUUCUUUCGUGCGAGAGCCGAGUAUUCAGAUGCACAUACAUAGACGCAUGUGCACACUGAUUUUAACUUUGAUAACCUUAACUUCCAUUGGAAUUAAGGAUGUAUUGGCUAUACAGUCAAUCCCAAAAGUACCAAACCGAAAACCGAAAACAUAACAUUGAGUGAACGACAUGCUGUUGAAACCAAUAUCUUCUGUUCCGAAACUAAUUUAUUGUAAAAAUAUCAAUAAUUUUGAUUAAUAAAUUAUUGGAAAUGAA
Molecule: long non-coding RNA, 1654 nt
Organism: Ceratina calcarata
Lineage: Eukaryota; Metazoa; Arthropoda; Insecta; Hymenoptera; Apidae
Exons: 3
Source: RefSeq, a predicted model, not a curated record